This 73-nucleotide transfer RNA is filed under the name Daphnia pulex (common water flea). It matches the Rfam family "tRNA". From Rfam's summary of the family: Transfer RNA (tRNA) molecules are approximately 80 nucleotides in length. Their secondary structure includes four short double-helical elements and three loops (D, anti-codon, and T loops). The record is from Rfam by way of RNAcentral. Lineage: Eukaryota; Metazoa; Arthropoda; Branchiopoda; Diplostraca; Daphniidae.
ACUCGGUUAGCUCAGUUGGUAGAGCGCGAGCCUGUAAAUCUAAAGGACAAGAGUUUAAGUCUCAUAUCACGCG